Molecule: ribosomal RNA, 454 nt
Filed under: uncultured bacterium
Lineage: Bacteria
Description: partial 16S ribosomal RNA
Rfam family: Bacterial small subunit ribosomal RNA
Source: RNAcentral
ACGGGAGGCAGCAGUGAGGAAUAUUGGUCAAUGGGCGGAAGCCUGAACCAGCCAUGUCGCGUGCAGGACUACGGCCCUACGGGUCUUAAACUUCUUUUAUAGGGGGAUAAAGUGAGAUACGCGUAUCUUAUUGUAGGUACCCUAUGAAUAAGCAUCGGCUAACUCCGUGCCAGCAGCCGCGGUAAUACGGAGGAUGCGAGCGUUAUCCGGAUUUAUUGGGUUUAAAGGGUGCGCAGGCGGCACGUUAAGUCAGCGGUGAAAUGUCGGGGCUCAACCCGGGCACUGCCGUUGAAACUGGCGAGCUUGAGUACGGAUGAAGUCGGCGGAAUGUGAUGUGUAGCGGUGAAAUGCUUAGAUAUGUCACAGAACACCGAUUGCGAAGGCAGCUGACUAAUCCGCAACUGACGCUCAGGCACGAAAGCGUGGGGAUCGAACAGGAUUAGAUACCCUGGUA